RNAcentral lists this ribosomal RNA (400 nucleotides) under uncultured bacterium. RNAcentral's name for it is "bacterial SSU rRNA". It matches the Rfam family "Bacterial small subunit ribosomal RNA", at positions 355 to 747 of the family's 1533-position model. The record is from RNAcentral.
UGGGGAAUUUUGGACAAUGGGGGCAACCCUGAUCCAGCCAUGCCGCGUGUCUGAAGAAGGCCUUCGGGUUGUAAAGGACUUUUGUCGGGGAGCAAAUCCUGCCUGUGAAUAGCGGGUGGGGAUGAGAGUACCUGAAGAAUAAGCACCGGCUAACUACGUGCCAGCAGCCGCGGUAAUACGUAGGGUGCAAGCGUUAAUCGGAAUUACUGGGCGUAAAGCGUGCGCAGGCGGUUGGACAAGCUUGAUGUGAAAGCCCCGGGCUUAACCUGGGAACGGCAUUGAGGACUGUUCAGCUAGAGUACGUCAGAGGGGGGUAGAAUUCCACGUGUAGCAGUGAAAUGCGUAGAGAUGUGGAGGAAUACCGAUGGCGAAGGCAGCCCCCUGGGAUGAUACUGACGCU